AACGAACGCUGGCGGCAGGCCUAACACAUGCAAGUCGAACGAGAUCUUCGGAUCUAGUGGCGGACGGGUGAGUAACGCGUGGGAACGUGCCCUUCUCUACGGGAAUAGUCCUGGGAAACUGGGGUUUAAUACCGUAUACGCCUUCGGGGGAAAGAAUUUCGGGGAAGGAUCGGCCCGCGUUGGAUUAGGUAGUUGGUGGGGUAAUGGCCUACCAAGCCGACGAUCCAAAAGCUGGUUGAGAGGAUGAUCAGCCACACUGGGACUGAGACACGGCCCAGACUCCUACGGGAGGCAGCAGUCGGGGAAUCUUAGACAAGGGGGGCAACCCCUGAGUCUUAGCCAUGCCGACGUGAGUGACG
RNAcentral lists this ribosomal RNA (359 nucleotides) under uncultured bacterium. RNAcentral's name for it is "bacterial SSU rRNA". It matches the Rfam family "Bacterial small subunit ribosomal RNA", at positions 29 to 410 of the family's 1533-position model. The record is from RNAcentral.